Bactrocera dorsalis (oriental fruit fly) is the source of this 606-nucleotide long non-coding RNA. RefSeq lists it as uncharacterized. The record is from RefSeq and is a predicted model, not a curated record. Lineage: Eukaryota; Metazoa; Arthropoda; Insecta; Diptera; Tephritidae. The transcript is spliced from 2 exons.
CGGAUAGGGGAGCUUCUAGGAAGGAUUAAUAUGCAAAAAUAAUGUUGCUAACACUUAUACAUAUUUUUAAAAAUAUUCCCGAUUAAAAAAUCGGCAUGAUUCCGAUUAGUUUGGCGGUCGGGUAAAAAACACGAAUUUCGGUAUAUUUCGGUUUGUAUAAGUUAACACAUUAGUAUGUCAGUCUGCCCACUGCGUUCUUAGACCUACUCCACGCGAGCCAGUAAGCGCAUUAAUAGUCCGCGUCCGUAUUUUUCCAUCAACUGGCAAACUCUUCGCUACAACAACAUCAGCGCGGUAGCAGCGAUUCAUCUGUUGUCUAAACAACAACAACAGCGUCAAGUGCAGUAGCAUUCGGUUAUUACCACCAAUUCGGACAGGUCGCCGCCCAAACAUGGAGAAUACUUAGGAAAAUUCUGGAAAAUUUUCCGAAAAAAAAUAUGAAGAAAAUAAAUUUUCAAAUACGAUUUUAAAAAGGAAAUAAAAACGAACAUGAUUUUAAAUGCUGUAUUGCCAGUAGAUGGCGAAAGGAGAAUACUUAAGAAAAUUCUGGAAAAUUUUCCGAAAAAAAAAUUAUGAAGAAAAUAAAUUUUCAAAUACGAUUUUAAA